Molecule: long non-coding RNA, 556 nt
Organism: Cebus imitator (Panamanian white-faced capuchin)
Lineage: Eukaryota; Metazoa; Chordata; Mammalia; Primates; Cebidae
Exons: 4
Source: RefSeq, a predicted model, not a curated record
UCUGAGCUCCGAGCGCUCGGCUUCUCUGUUUUUGCGCAGCGCCCUCAUUCUGCCAACAAAUCGCAGAGGAGCACCACCCACCGGGCUACCGAUGAUUGGCCAAACCGGCCGUCAAACAGAACGUCACGCGGCAGCCGGGCGGGGCGGGACAGAACUCUCGCCCGGGCGGCCCGGGUGAGUGUGAGUGUGAGAGCGAGAACAGCCCCGCAGGUCCCGAGGCGCUGGCUGGGGACACUGCCGCGGAAAGUUCCCAGUCCCCAGCCGCAGAUCUGCAGGAAAUGAAAUGUUUUGAGGUCUUCAAGCUGACUCGUCAGAAUCCUGGAGCCUUUUAAAAAAUGACGAAUUGGAAGAAAAAAUUAAUUUAUCAAUAACCAGGCUCCACCAGGAUUGAACUAGAUGGUUGUUCCUGGCACUUGUCAUUCCCGGCAAGCACAGCACCGAGAGCAAAUACAAAAGGCCUAAAGUGCAUUGCAUCUUUUAUGGAAGUACCCAAUGUGGAAAUCAUGGAUUUUAACUAAGGAACAAGAAAACUGAUGAAACAGGUUCAAAAGAAAGG